UCCCUGGUGGCUCAGAGGUUAAAGCAUCUGGCUCCAAUGCAGGAGACUCGGGUUCGAUCCCUGGGUCGGGAA
This 72-nucleotide transfer RNA is filed under the name Ovis aries (sheep). It matches the Rfam family "tRNA". Rfam says of the family: Transfer RNA (tRNA) molecules are approximately 80 nucleotides in length. Their secondary structure includes four short double-helical elements and three loops (D, anti-codon, and T loops). The record is from Rfam by way of RNAcentral. Lineage: Eukaryota; Metazoa; Chordata; Mammalia; Artiodactyla; Bovidae.